UUGCCAUCAACCCCCUGUUGUG
This 22-nucleotide unclassified non-coding RNA is filed under the name Mus musculus (house mouse). Its description in RNAcentral is "oocyte_clustered_small_RNA9793". Lineage: Eukaryota; Metazoa; Chordata; Mammalia; Rodentia; Muridae. The record is from RNAcentral.